This 253-nucleotide ribosomal RNA is filed under the name uncultured bacterium. RNAcentral describes it as "partial 16S ribosomal RNA". It matches the Rfam family "Bacterial small subunit ribosomal RNA", at positions 524 to 776 of the family's 1533-position model. The record is from RNAcentral.
UACAGAGGGUGCAAGCGUUGUCCGGAAUUAUUGGGCGUAAAGAGCACGUAGGCGGUUUGUUAAGUUUGGGCUUAAAGACUGGGGCUCAACCCCAGGAGUGGCUCGAAAACUGACAGACUAGAGGAUGGCAGAGGAAAGUGGAAUUCCCAGUGUAGCGGUGAAAUGCGUAGAUAUUGGGAGGAACACCAGUGGCGAAAGCGACUUUCUGGGCCAUUCCUGACGCUGAGGUUCGAAAGCUCGGGGAGCAAACAGG